RNAcentral lists this unclassified non-coding RNA (331 nucleotides) under soil metagenome. RNAcentral's name for it is "partial contains 5.8S ribosomal RNA, internal transcribed spacer 2, and large subunit ribosomal RNA". The stretch from base 2 to 119 matches the Rfam family "5.8S ribosomal RNA", at positions 37 to 154 of the family's 154-position model. The record is from RNAcentral.
GUGAAGAACGUAGCGAAAUGCGAUAAGUAAUGUGAAUUGCAGAAUUCAGUGAAUCAUCGAAUCUUUGAACGCACAUUGCGCCCUUUGGUAUUCCUUAGGGCAUGCCUGUUCGAGCGUCAUUUAAACCUUCAAGCUAAGCUUGGUGUUGGGUGACUGUCCGCUUCACGGCGGACUCGCCUCAAAAUUAUUGGCGGCCGGUACAUUGGCUUCGAGCGCAGCAGAAACGCGAACUCGGGCCCGUCGUAUUGGCUCCCAGAAGCUAUCUUCACAAUUUUGACCUCGGAUCAGGUAGGGAUACCCGCUGAACUUAAGCAUAUCAAUAAGCGGAGGA